This 459-nucleotide ribosomal RNA is filed under the name uncultured bacterium. Its description in RNAcentral is "partial 16S ribosomal RNA". It matches the Rfam family "Bacterial small subunit ribosomal RNA", at positions 338 to 795 of the family's 1533-position model. The record is from RNAcentral.
CCUACGGGUGGCAGCAGUGAGGAAUAUUGGUCAAUGGCCGAGAGUCUGAACCAGCCAAGUCGCGUGAGGGAAGAAUGUCCUACGGAUUGUAAACCUCUUUUGUCGGGGAGCAAAACGGCUCUGCGGAGUCGUAUUGAGCGUACCCGAAGAACAAGCAUCGGCUAACUCCGUGCCAGCAGCCGCGGUAAUACGGAGGAUGCGAGCGUUAUCCGGAUUUAUUGGGUUUAAAGGGUGCGCAGGAGGCGUGUCAAGCAAGCGGUAAAAUAGCGGGGCUCAACCCCGGCGAGCCGUGUGAACUGGCGCGCUGGAGUGCAGGCGAGGUAGGCGGAAUUCGGGGUGUAGCGGUGAAAUGCAUAGAUAUCACGAAGAACUCAGAUUGCGAAGGCAGCUUACUAGGCUGCGACUGACGCUCAGGCACGAAAGUGUGGGUAUCGAACAGGAUUAGAUACCCGUGUAGUC